RNAcentral lists this ribosomal RNA (460 nucleotides) under uncultured bacterium. RNAcentral's name for it is "partial 16S ribosomal RNA". It matches the Rfam family "Bacterial small subunit ribosomal RNA", at positions 338 to 795 of the family's 1533-position model. The record is from RNAcentral.
CCUACGGGUGGCAGCAGUGAGGAAUAUUGGUCAAUGGGCGUAAGCCUGAACCAGCCAAGUCGCGUGAGGGAUGAAGGUUCUAUGGAUCGUAAACCUCUUUUAUAAGGGAAUAAAGUGUGGGACGUGUCCUAUUUUGUAUGUACCUUAUGAAUAAGGAUCGGCUAACUCCGUGCCAGCAGCCGCGGGAAUACGGAGGAUCCGAGCGUGUUCCGGAUUUAUUGGGUUUAAAGGGUGCGUAGGCGGCCUUUUAAGGCAGCGGUGAAAGUCUUGGGCUCAACCAUAGAAUUGCGGUUGAAACUGGGGGGAUGGAGGAUGUUUGCGGCAGGCAGAAUGCGUGGUGUAGCGGUGAAAGGCUUAGAUAUCACGCAGAACCCCGAUUGCGAAGGCAGCCUGCCAAGCCAUGACUGACGCUGAUGCACGAAAGCGUGGGGAUCAAACAGGAUUAGAUACCCUGGUAGUC